GACGAACGCUGGCGGCGUGCCUAAUACAUGCAAGUAGAACGCACAGUUUAUACCGUAGCUCGCUACACCAUAGACUGUGAGUUGCGAACGGGUGAGUAACGCGUAGGUAACCUGCCUGGUAGCGGGGGAUAACUAUUGGAAACGAUAGCUAAUACCGCAUAAUAUUGAUUAUUGCAUGAUAAUUGAUUGAAAGAUGCUAUUGCAUCACUACCAGAUGGACCUGCGUUGUAUUAGCUAGUAGGUGAGGUAACGGCUCACCUAGGCGACGAUACAUAGCCGACCUGAGAGGGUGAUCGGCCACACUGGGACUGAGACACGGCCCAGACUCCUACGGGAGGCAGCAGUAGGGAAUCUUCGGCAAUGGACGAAAGUCUGACCGAGCAACGCCGCGUGAGUGAAGAAGGUUUUCGGAUCGUAAAGCUCUGUUGUAAGAGAAGAACGGGUGUGAGAGUGGAAAGUUCACACUGUGACGGUAUCUUACCAGAAAGGGACGGCUAACUACGUG
RNAcentral lists this ribosomal RNA (505 nucleotides) under uncultured bacterium. RNAcentral describes it as "partial 16S ribosomal RNA". It matches the Rfam family "Bacterial small subunit ribosomal RNA", at positions 28 to 507 of the family's 1533-position model. The record is from RNAcentral.